This 447-nucleotide ribosomal RNA is filed under the name uncultured bacterium. RNAcentral's name for it is "partial 16S ribosomal RNA". It matches the Rfam family "Bacterial small subunit ribosomal RNA", at positions 338 to 795 of the family's 1533-position model. The record is from RNAcentral.
CCUACGGGGUGCAGCAGUCGAGAAUCAUUCACAAUGGGGGAAACCCUGAUGGUGCGACGCCGCGUGGGGGAAUGAAGUUCUUCGGAUUGUAAACCCCUGUCAUGUGGGAGCAAAUUAAAAAGAUAGUACCACAAGAGGAAGAGACGGCUAACUCUGUUCAAGCAGCCGCGGUACUACAGAGGUCUCAAGCGUUGUUCGGAAUCACUGGGCGUAAAGCGUGCGUAGGCUGUGUCGGAAAACGUGUGUGAAAGGCGCGGGCUCAACCCGCGGACGGCACAUGUUACUGGGAGACUAGAGUAAUGGGGGGGGAACCGGAAUUCUCGGUGUAGCAGUGAAAUGCGUAGAUAUCGAGAGGAACACUCGUGGCGAAGGCGGGUUCCUGGACAUUAACUGACGCUGAGGCACGAAGGCCAGGGGAGCGAAAGGGAUUAGAUACCCCUUGUAGUC